RNAcentral lists this ribosomal RNA (2552 nucleotides) under Shigella boydii. RNAcentral describes it as "partial 23S ribosomal RNA". It matches the Rfam family "Bacterial large subunit ribosomal RNA", at positions 411 to 2925 of the family's 2925-position model. Lineage: Bacteria; Pseudomonadati; Pseudomonadota; Gammaproteobacteria; Enterobacterales; Enterobacteriaceae. The record is from RNAcentral.
AGUAGGGCGGGACACGUGGUAUCCUGUCUGAAUAUGGGGGGACCAUCCUCCAAGGCUAAAUACUCCUGACUGACCGAUAGUGAACCAGUACCGUGAGGGAAAGGCGAAAAGAACCCCGGCGAGGGGAGUGAAAAAGAACCUGAAACCGUGUACGUACAAGCAGUGGGAGCACGCUUAGGCGUGUGACUGCGUACCUUUUGUAUAAUGGGUCAGCGACUUAUAUUCUGUAGCAAGGUUAACCGAAUAGGGGAGCCGAAGGGAAACCGAGUCUUAACUGGGCGUUAAGUUGCAGGGUAUAGACCCGAAACCCGGUGAUCUAGCCAUGGGCAGGUUGAAGGUUGGGUAACACUAACUGGAGGACCGAACCGACUAAUGUUGAAAAAUUAGCGGAUGACUUGUGGCUGGGGGUGAAAGGCCAAUCAAACCGGGAGAUAGCUGGUUCUCCCCGAAAGCUAUUUAGGUAGCGCCUCGUGAAUUCAUCUCCGGGGGUAGAGCACUGUUUCGGCAAGGGGGUCAUCCCGACUUACCAACCCGAUGCAAACUGCGAAUACCGGAGAAUGUUAUCACGGGAGACACACGGCGGGUGCUAACGUCCGUCGUGAAGAGGGAAACAACCCAGACCGCCAGCUAAGGUCCCAAAGUCAUGGUUAAGUGGGAAACGAUGUGGGAAGGCCCAGACAGCCAGGAUGUUGGCUUAGAAGCAGCCAUCAUUUAAAGAAAGCGUAAUAGCUCACUGGUCGAGUCGGCCUGCGCGGAAGAUGUAACGGGGCUAAACCAUGCACCGAAGCUGCGGCAGCGACGCUGAUGCGUUGUUGGGUAGGGGAGCGUUCUGUAAGCCUGUGAAGGUGUGCUGUGAGGUAUGCUGGAGGUAUCAGAAGUGCGAAUGCUGACAUAAGUAACGAUAAAGCGGGUGAAAAGCCCGCUCGCCGGAAGACCAAGGGUUCCUGUCCAACGUUAAUCGGGGCAGGGUGAGUCGACCCCUAAGGCGAGGCCGAAAGGCGUAGUCGAUGGGAAACAGGUUAAUAUUCCUGUACUUGGUGUUACUGCGAAGGGGGGACGGAGAAGGCUAUGUUGGCCGGGCGACGGUUGUCCCGGUUUAAGCGUGUAGGCUGGUUUUCCAGGCAAAUCCGGAAAACUAAGGCUGAGGCGUGAUGACGAGGCACUACGGUGCUGAAGCAACAAAUGCCCUGCUUCCAGGAAAAGCCUCUAAGCAUCAGGUAACAUCAAAUCGUACCCCAAACCGACACAGGUGGUCAGGUAGAGAAUACCAAGGCGCUUGAGAGAACUCGGGUGAAGGAACUAGGCAAAAUGGUGCCGUAACUUCGGGAGAAGGCACGCUGAUAUGUAGGUGAAGUCCCUCGCGGAUGGAGCUGAAAUCAGUCGAAGAUACCAGCUGGCUGCAACUGUUUAUUAAAAACACAGCACUGUGCAAACACGAAAGUGGACGUAUACGGUGUGACGCCUGCCCGGUGCCGGAAGGUUAAUUGAUGGGGUCAGCGCAAGCGAAGCUCUUGAUCGAAGCCCCGGUAAACGGCGGCCGUAACUAUAACGGUCCUAAGGUAGCGAAAUUCCUUGUCGGGUAAGUUCCGACCUGCACGAAUGGCGUAAUGAUGGCCAGGCUGUCUCCACCCGAGACUCAGUGAAAUUGAACUCGCUGUGAAGAUGCAGUGUACCCGCGGCAAGACGGAAAGACCCCGUGAACCUUUACUAUAGCUUGACACUGAACAUUGAGCCUUGAUGUGUAGGAUAGGUGGGAGGCUUUGAAGUGUGGACGCCAGUCUGCAUGGAGCCGACCUUGAAAUACCACCCUUUAAUGUUUGAUGUUCUAACGUUGACCCGUAAUCCGGGUUGCGGACAGUGUCUGGUGGGUAGUUUGACUGGGGCGGUCUCCUCCUAAAGAGUAACGGAGGAGCACGAAGGUUGGCUAAUCCUGGUCGGACAUCAGGAGGUUAGUGCAAUGGCAUAAGCCAGCUUGACUGCGAGCGUGACGGCGCGAGCAGGUGCGAAAGCAGGUCAUAGUGAUCCGGUGGUUCUGAAUGGAAGGGCCAUCGCUCAACGGAUAAAAGGUACUCCGGGGAUAACAGGCUGAUACCGCCCAAGAGUUCAUAUCGACGGCGGUGUUUGGCACCUCGAUGUCGGCUCAUCACAUCCUGGGGCUGAAGUAGGUCCCAAGGGUAUGGCUGUUCGCCAUUUAAAGUGGUACGCGAGCUGGGUUUAGAACGUCGUGAGACAGUUCGGUCCCUAUCUGCCGUGGGCGCUGGAGAACUGAGGGGGGCUGCUCCUAGUACGAGAGGACCGGAGUGGACGCAUCACUGGUGUUCGGGUUGUCAUGCCAAUGGCACUGCCCGGUAGCUAAAUGCGGAAGAGAUAAGUGCUGAAAGCAUCUAAGCACGAAACUUGCCCCGAGAUGAGUUCUCCCUGACUCCUUGAGAGUCCUGAAGGAACGUUGAAGACGACGACGUUGAUAGGCCGGGUGUGUAAGCGCAGCGAUGCGUUGAGCUAACCGGUACUAAUGAACCGUGAGGCUUAACCUUACAACGCCGAAGGUGUUU